UGGCUCAGAUGGUAAAGCAUCUGCCUGCAAUGCAGGAGACCUGGGUUCGAUCCCCUG
RNAcentral lists this transfer RNA (57 nucleotides) under Bos taurus (domestic cattle). It matches the Rfam family "tRNA", at positions 8 to 63 of the family's 71-position model. Rfam says of the family: Transfer RNA (tRNA) molecules are approximately 80 nucleotides in length. Their secondary structure includes four short double-helical elements and three loops (D, anti-codon, and T loops). The record is from Rfam by way of RNAcentral. Lineage: Eukaryota; Metazoa; Chordata; Mammalia; Artiodactyla; Bovidae. RNAcentral also lists the same sequence under 4 other names.